GUCAAGUGAAGAAGCGCAUACGGUGGAUGCCUUGGCAGUCAGAGGCGAUGAAAGACGUGGUAGCCUGCGAAAAGCUUCGGGGAGUCGGCAAACAGACUUUGAUCCGGAGAUGUCUGAAUGGGGGAACCCAGCCAUCAUAAGAUGGUUACCUUACACUGAAUACAUAGGUGUAUGGAGCGAACCAGGGGAACUGAAACAUCUAAGUACCCUGAGGAAAAGAAAUCAACCGAGAUUCCCUUAGUAGUGGCGAGCGAACGGGGACUAGCCCUUAAGUGGCUUUGAGAUUAGCGGAACGCUCUGGAAAGUGCGGCCAUAGUGGGUGAUAGCCCUGUACGCGAAAAUCUCUUAGUCAUGAAAUCGAGUAGGACGGAGCACGAGAAACUUUGUCUGAAUAUGGGGGGACCAUCCUCCAAGGCUAAAUACUACUGACUGACCGAUAGUGAACCAGUACCGUGAGGGAAAGGCGAAAAGAACCCCGGAGAGGGGAGUGAAAUAGAUCCUGAAACCGUAUGCGUACAAGCAGUGGGAGCAGACUUUGUUCUGUGACUGCGUACCUUUUGUAUAAUGGGUCAGCGACUUAUUUUCAGUGGCGAGCUUAACCGAAUAGGGGAGGCGUAGCGAAAGCGAGUCUUAAUAGGGCGUCUAGUCGCUGGGAAUAGACCCGAAACCGGGCGAUCUAUCCAUGGGCAGGUUGAAGGUUGGGUAACACUAACUGGAGGACCGAACCGACUACCUUUGAAAAGUUAGCGGAUGACCUGUGGAUCGGAGUGAAAGGCUAAUCAAGCUCGGAGAUAGCUGGUUCUCCUCGAAAGCUAUUUAGGUAGCGCCUCAUGUAUCACUGUAGGGGGUAGAGCACUGUUUCGGCUAGGGGGUCAUCCCGACUUACCAAACCGAUGCAAACUCCGAAUACCUACAAGUGCCGAGCAUGGGAGACACACGGCGGGUGCUAACGUCCGUCGUG
This 961-nucleotide ribosomal RNA is filed under the name uncultured Isochrysis. Its description in RNAcentral is "partial Bacterial large subunit ribosomal RNA". It matches the Rfam family "Bacterial large subunit ribosomal RNA", at positions 1 to 1012 of the family's 2925-position model. The record is from RNAcentral. Lineage: Eukaryota; Haptophyta; Isochrysidales.